RNAcentral lists this ribosomal RNA (514 nucleotides) under uncultured bacterium. RNAcentral describes it as "bacterial SSU rRNA". It matches the Rfam family "Bacterial small subunit ribosomal RNA", at positions 335 to 853 of the family's 1533-position model. The record is from RNAcentral.
ACUCCUACGGGAGGCAGCAGUGGGGAAUAUUGCGCAAUGGGCGGAAGCCUGACGCAGCGACGCCGCGUGGGGGAUGACGGCCUUCGGGUUGUAAACCUCUUUCGGCCUUGACGAAGCUCUUCGGGGUGACGGUAGGGGUAGAAGAAGCACCGGCCAACUACGUGCCAGCAGCCGCGGUAAUACGUAGGGUGCGAGCGUUGUCCGGAAUUAUUGGGCGUAAAGAGCUCGUAGGCGGUCUGUCGCGUCGGUCGUGAAAACUUGGGGCUUAACCCUGAGCUUGCGGUCGAUACGGGCAUGACUGGAGUUCGGCAGGGGAGACUGGAAUUCCUGGUGUAGCGGUGAAAUGCGCAGAUAUCAGGAGGAACACCGGUGGCGAAGGCGGGUCUCUGGGCCGAUACUGACGCUGAGGAGCGAAAGCGUGGGGGAGCGAACAGGAUUAGAUACCCUGGUAGUCCACGCCGUAAACGGUGGGCGCUAGGUGUGGGGGCCAUUCCACGGUCUCUGUGCCGCAGCU